This 245-nucleotide ribosomal RNA is filed under the name uncultured bacterium. RNAcentral describes it as "partial 16S ribosomal RNA". It matches the Rfam family "Bacterial small subunit ribosomal RNA", at positions 524 to 768 of the family's 1533-position model. The record is from RNAcentral.
UACGUAGGGUGCAAGCGUUAUCCGGAAUUAUUGGGCGUAAAGAAUGCGUAGGCGGUUUUGUAAGUUGUCCGUUAAAUUUUCAGGCUCAACCUGAUUCGCGCGGACAAUACUGCAUAACUAGAGAAUAGCAGGGGCAAGCGGAAUUCCCGGUGUAGGAGUGAAAUCCGUUGAUAUCGGGAGGAACACCAAUGGCGAAGGCAGCUUGCUAGGUUAUUUCUGACGCUGAGGCAUGAAAGCGUGGGGAG